Vicia villosa (hairy vetch) is the source of this 1050-nucleotide long non-coding RNA. RefSeq lists it as uncharacterized. The record is from RefSeq and is a predicted model, not a curated record. NCBI's taxonomy places the organism in Eukaryota, Viridiplantae, Streptophyta, Magnoliopsida, Fabales, Fabaceae. The transcript is spliced from 3 exons.
GCGUUACGUGUAUUGGAACUCAGCUCUCCCUCAACCUCUCAAACGGCGGCGGACAAACUUCCCUCCUUCUCUUCCGGCGAAAACGCGGCGGCACCAGCUUCGGACGACCGCGCGAUGAUGACCUCUCUCACCUCUCUCGAUCUUGACUUUCUCUUUCGCUUCGACUCAAACUCUCAGUUCCCUCCGCUCAACUCGUGCUCGAUUAGUUCUCUCCAAUCUUCCUCGAUCUAAAAUUGGAGAACACCAACUCAAGGCAACCGGAGAUUCGUCCGGUGCGUUCGUUCUGUUGAAGCUGAUGCGCAAAAGGUUGUUGUUGUUGCGUGAUCACGGUGCAGUCGUUAUCGUUGAGUUGAUGCAAUCGUUUCGGAGAAGGUGAUGACGUGAGAUAACUUCGUCAAAGAUUAUUUUGUAAUAUCCUGUGAUUUUCUUGCAGGUUAUCUAUGGUUAAGAAUGUGGCGAGUUGAGGAUUUUUGGAGAUGAACCAAAGGUUUUCUGAUUUUUGUGAUGAAGAUGAAGAACGGUUCUUGUGCUAUUCUGAUUGAAGAUGAUGAACGAAGAAGAGGAUUUGAGAUUGGAGAAAGAUUUUCUUAGAGAAAUUUGUUACAGAGAUUGAUUCAUGGUGAUGUGAAGAGGAGGAGGAGAUUCUGAGAUUUUUUCGAUUGAAGAGAAUGAAGAGGUUGAAGGUUGAAGAACUCUUUGUGAGUUUUCCAGAAAAUUGAGAGAGAAGAAGGUGAAGAUUCAGAGAUGUUGAAGAGAGAAAGAUGUGAAUCGGUGAAGAUGAAGAUUGGAGCCAAAGUUUGUUACAUUUUGGUUAUCGGAUUUGGCUUACGGUUUGAAGUUAACAUGGAGAUUGAAUUGAGAGCCAACUUAGCAUAGGCUUAGACUUUGCUUCUUUGUUUCAGAACUUGUUUCUUUGGAUAUUAACUUCAUGAUGUAAUUUCGACUUUGGGCUCUAACUUGUAAUGGGAUAUAUGAUGUAAUGAAUGGACCUUUGAAUGAUAUGGACACUUUUUGAGAAUUUGAAUUGUAGUGAAUGAUAAAUGGAUAUUG